RNAcentral lists this long non-coding RNA (441 nucleotides) under Malus domestica (apple). Its description in RNAcentral is "long non-coding RNA (MDOM_LNC006392)". The record is from RNAcentral. Lineage: Eukaryota; Viridiplantae; Streptophyta; Magnoliopsida; Rosales; Rosaceae.
GAAAUGACACUGUUGAAACUCAUCAUCUCCGAUCUCCCUGCAAUCAUUCCCUAAUCUCCUGCAAUCCUUCAAAAGAAUCCCUUAAACCCUGUGGAAACUCAUCUUUCUUAUCGUCCUUAUCAACCCCAUGGAUCCAAUCACAGUCCUCAAUCUCCAAACCUGUAGAACCCCCAAUCCCAAGACGUCCCCAAAUCGUCUCUGCCGCUACUUCAACCCAAACAAACCCAUAACCCAUAAUCGUCUCGACCGCCAAUUCAACACAAACAAACCCAAAAGCAGUAUGGUGAGGAGGAUGAGGUUGACGACGAAGACGAUGUUCCAGAACCGGUGGGCUGUGGGAGCCUAAACUGGGUUUCAUUGAUUUGACCCAGAAGAAGAAGAUGACGAUGAUGGGUUGGUGAAUAAAGAGACCGGCGAUUGGGGGUGAUUUGUUUGGUGGGG